This 826-nucleotide ribosomal RNA is filed under the name uncultured bacterium. Its description in RNAcentral is "bacterial SSU rRNA". It matches the Rfam family "Bacterial small subunit ribosomal RNA", at positions 8 to 826 of the family's 1533-position model. The record is from RNAcentral.
AGAGUUUGAUCCUGGCUCAGGAUCAACGCUAGCGACAGGCCUAACACAUGCAAGUCGAGGGGCAGCAGGAAGUAGCAAUACUUUGCUGGCGACCGGCGCACGGGUGCGUAACGCGUAUGCAACCUGGCUCGAACAGGGGAACAGCCUUCCGAAAGGAAGAUUAAUACCCCAUACGAAACUCCCCCGCAUGAGAGAGUUUGGAAAGAAGCAAUUCGGUUCGAGAUGGGCAUGCGUCCCAUUAGCUAGUUGGCGGUGCAACGGACCACCAAGGCGACGAUGGGUAGGGGUUCUGAGAGGAAGGUCCCCCACACUGGUACUGAGACAGGGACCAGACUCCUACGGGAGGCAGCAGUGAGGAAUAUUGGUCAAUGGACGCAAGUCUGAACCAGCCAAGUCGCGUGCAGGAAUAAGGCCCUAUGGGUCGCAGACUGCUUUUGCAUGAGAAUAAAAAGUGGGACGUGUCCCACCCUGUAGGUAUCAUGCGAAUAAGGAUCGGCUAACUCCGUGCCAGCAGCCGCGGUAAUACGGAGGAUCCGAGCGUUAUCCGGAUUCAUUGGGUUUAAAGGGUGCGCAGGCGGGUCUGUAAGCCCGUGGUGAAAGCCUGGUGCUCAACGCCAGAGGUGCCGCGGGAACUGCAGGUCUUGAGUCGUGACGAGGGCGGCGGAAUGCGAAGUGUAGCGGUGAAAUGCUUAGAUAGUUCGCAGAACGCCGAUUGCGAAGGCAGCCGCCCAGGGACGCACUGACGCUGAGGCUCGAAAGCAUGGGUAGCGAACAGGAUUAGAUACCCUGGUAGUCCAUGCCGUAAACGAUGAGUGCCAAAUGUUGG